GACGAACGCUGGCGGCGUGCUUAACACAUGCAAGUCGAACGGAAAGGCCUUUUCGGAGGUACUCGAGUGGCGAACGGGUGCGUAACACGUGGGUGAUCUGCCCUGCACUCUGGGAUAAGCCUGGGAAACUGGGUCUAAUACCGGGUAGGACCGCACUUUAGUGUGUGUGGUGGAAAGUUUUUUCGGUGUAGGAUGAGCCCGCGGCCUAUCAGCUUGUUGGUGGGGUAAUGGCCUACCAAGGCGGCGACGGGUAGCCGGACUGAGAGGUUGGUCGGCCACAUUGGGACUGAGAUACGGCCCAGACUCCUACGGGAGGCAGCAGUGGGGAAGAUUGCACAAUGGGCGCAAGCCGGAUGCAGCGACGCCGCGUGGGGGAUGACGGCCUUCGGGUUGGAAACUCCUUUCGCCAGGGACGAAGCGUUUUGUGACGGUACCUGGAGAAGAAGCACCGGCUAACUACGUG
Molecule: ribosomal RNA, 463 nt
Filed under: uncultured bacterium
Lineage: Bacteria
Description: partial 16S ribosomal RNA
Rfam family: Bacterial small subunit ribosomal RNA
Source: RNAcentral